GGUGAUUCAGACAGCAGAAAGGGACUCAGAGUUCCUGGUCCAGUUCUCUGGGCAGUGGUUUUGGUUGCUUGGAAAGGUGACUUGCUGUGCUUCGUAAUCCAGCACAGGUGAGGGAUCGUAGCUCAGCUCUGCCCCAGCUGCUUCCCAUUUCACACAGGGCUGAUUUAGCUCCACCCAAUCCAGCAGGUAUUUUUCUGUGGCAAUAAAAUUUCACUGGGUGCCUAUAAAGAGUCUUUGGAGAUGCUGCACAAAGCUGAAGAUGGUACUGCUUGUUGGUGAGAAUAAUUGUUCUGUAGAUAGCACGUGUUGCCAUAGCUUUUAUUAUCAUUUUUCACCAGUCCCUUUGCCGUUGCUGGCAGUCAAGGAGGCAACAUUGUGGCAGCCCUCCAGGAAUGGUGUGGAGCUGGUACCUUGCAGGGCUGGACUGGCUGGACUACUUCUUGUGCAAGCUUUUCCUUGAAACACACCAAGAUUUCUUGGAAAUCAAAACGUCUGGUGGCAGAACAGGAGAAUAUAGUGGGAAUUUCUUGAGCUUGAUUGUAAUCGGACGCUUUAACCAGUGUGAAGGCCUGGAUUACCUCUGCUAGAACUGCUACAGCCUGUCCCUGACUGGAGCUGUGCCACACAGAGGCUGCCUUGUGCAGGGCACUGGUUCCCAAGCCAGGCUGGUGGCCUUGCUUGGAAUGGGGUGAGAACUGGCCCAGACGUAGUACUGGCUACUGUGCUGUGCUGCAAGGGCUGCGAAAUAUUUUUCUGUUAUUCAAGUCUGUCUCGCAAAUGAAGUCGUUUCCUUGGAAGAAGUUUGGAAAUUGAAACAGUCCGCUGGGACCCCAUGUUUUGUCCAUUCAUUUCUUCUGAUUUUAUCUUGGGGAUCUGUGAGCAUGACUUUCAAAGAAGUGCUGGGGCCCAUUCUUUGUUUCUUGGCUCCAUGAACCUCUUAAGCAGCUCUGGGGCACUCAGUCCUCUGUGAUUGAGCUUCAUUUCCCUAUUUGCUUACUGCAGUCUUGUGUUCCUCUUUGUUUUGCUUUUUCCCUUAAUACAUCCUGUUAAUGCAGCCUUCCCUGGAGCCUCUUGAGAUUGUACUCUUCAGAAUUUUCAAAUGCGAUCAAUGGAUCUUACAGUCGAAAAGAAGGUAGAUGAGAAGCCAGAAAAAAACACAGAUGCAAUGUCUUUUCAAAUACUUUUUAUAAUUC
Molecule: long non-coding RNA, 1193 nt
Filed under: Phasianus colchicus (ring-necked pheasant)
Lineage: Eukaryota; Metazoa; Chordata; Aves; Galliformes; Phasianidae
Description: lncRNA (ENSPCLG00000009711.1)
Source: RNAcentral